UUUGAAACUGACCAAAGAGGGUCUUAACCUUCAUAUUAUAAGCCAAGACGCUGGAGUGAGAAACAAUGCAGGACAAAAGAGAGGACUACAGAAAAACGUAAUGUUUCUGGAGUACCGAGUUCUGUGCAGAGGUGAGAGUGGGGACAGUGGGGACUGGAGAGCCUUGUAAGCUAUAGUCAGGAAUGUGGACUUGGUCCUGAGGGAGGUGAGGGGCUGACCCACCCAGAGGGUCAUUACCCAGGAGAUAAAUGCAUGUAGCUCACUGGCUGCACUUAGGAGGGAGGGUGCAGUUAGAGGAGGGAAAACAGAGAGGUGGGUGCAGUCUACUCUAGAUCUUGCUUCUUGAUAUUUUCCUUGUUAUACAUGCACAGAAAAUGAUUCCUUUUGUAUGACACACCACGGUAAAAUGGGAAGGGGCUGUUUGCAGCUAGAGGCAACCAACACAGGGGUUCCAGACACCGGAAGUUCCUGUUCAGCCACCCCGGGGGGCUGAGGAGUCUCAGGCAGCAUGUACCCCAGUCACAGCAGACCAGACCUGGGGAGAGGAUGAGGAAAUGAUUAGGGGGCACCUGGCUGGCUCGCUUGGUAGAGCAUGCCACUUCUGAUUGUGGGUUGUGAGUUCAGUGAGUUUGAGCCCCAUGUUGGGUAUAAAGGUGACUUAGAAAAUAAAAUCUUUGAAGAAAGAAAAAAAUUCUUAGAAAGCAAAGUUAGUAUCGCUUAGUGAAGGGGUGAAGAAGGAAGAUGACCCCUGGAUUUCUGGACUGAAUAGUUGGACAAAUGUUCAUUCCCUCACUGCUGCAGGGGAUAUGGGGGCAGGACUGGUUAAUGGGAAAGCGAUGAGACGUUUGGCUGCCCUGGGUUUGAGGUGGGUGCAGAAUGUCAACAGGCAGUGACUCAGGGCUCUGGAGUCUAACAGGCUGGGUCCAACUCCUACCUUCAUCAACCUACUAGUUGUGUUACCUUGAGCAAAAAACCGGAUCUCUUUAAACCUGUUAAUUCAUCUAUAAGAUAGGUAUAAUAAUAGGGUUUCAGAGUUGUUAUUAAAUGAGAAUAAAAUGAGAUAAUGUACAGUGCCUGGAACAUAAUAAGUAUCUAAAAAUGACAACACUAUUUUUUUUAUUUAAGUUUAUUUAUUUUGAGAGAGAGAGAGAGAGAUGGAAAGCAUAGUGAGGGAGGGGCAGAAAGGGAGGGAGACAGGGAGAAUCCCAAGUAGGCUCCACACUGCCAGCCCAGAGUCUGAUGCAGGGCUCGAACCCAUGAACCACAGGAUCAUGACCUGAGCCGAAGUCAAGAGCUGAACACUUAAUGGACUGAGCCACCCAGACAUCCUGGCAACACUAUUACUGUUGUUAUUAUUAUCAAUAAAUCUGAAGUUCAGAGAAGAAGCAAUUUUAGAAGUCAUCAAAUGGGAAUUGAAACCAUGAGGAUAAAUGAGAUAACCCAGAAAGAGUGUAGAUGCUGAGAACAGUGAAGUUGAAGACCAGGAGCACUGACAUUUCAGCGGUGGACAGAGGAAGAGGAGACUAAAAACAAAUGGUCCAGAAGACAGAAGAAAGCCACCAGAGCCCGGUGCCUUGGAAUCCACACGUAGCAGCCACACACAGUUGAUCCUCUGUCUUACUUACUGUUUGCCAACAGAACCUGAUGUUGUUGGGGGUAAGCACCAUCUGGAUUCUGUGUGCCUUGCAGGAGGCAGCCCAGAGCCCCAGCUCCAAACCAGGAAGUCAGUCCUCACUCAUAAUCCCAUUGUGCUUGCCAGUGAUUGGUUUAUGAAGGUGUAUUUGAUCCCUUUCUGGCCAAUGAGACUUGGUGGAAAGUCUGUUGAGGGACUUCUGGAAAAUAUUUCUUUGAUUUAAAAAGAAAAGAUGCCCACAAAGACCAAAACCACGAUGAGAUACCACUUCAUACUCACUAGGGCAACUAGAAUCAAAAAGCCAGAUAACACCAAGUGUUGGUCAGGAUGUGGAGAAUUCAGAACCCUGGUGGGAAUUCAGAACCCUGGCGAGAAUGUAAAAAGGAAUAGCCACUUGUAAAAUAAUGUUGCAGUUCCUCAAUUAAACAUAGAGUUCCCAUAUUACCCAGCCGUUCUACUCCUGGGUAUAUACCCAGGAAAAUGAAAAAAAAAUUAUGUCCCACUGAAAUUCAUACACAAAUAUUUAUAGCAGUGUUAUUCAUAAUAGCCAAAAUGUAGACACAACACAAAUGUUCAUCAAUAGUGGAAUGGAUACCCAAAAUGUGACACAUCCAUACAAUGGAAUAAUAUUUGGCUAUAAUAAAGAAUAAGUACUGAUACAGGCUUUAACAUUAAUGAACUUUGAAAACAUUAUUUUAAGUGAGAGAAGGCAGCCACAAAAGGCCACAUACUGUAUGCUUCUAUUCAUAAUGGAAGUCCAGAAUAGGGAAAUCUAUAGAGAAAAGGUGGUUUAGUUGCUUAGGGCUGAGGAGGUGGCAGGGAGAUGGGAAAUGAUGAAUAAAGUGUAUGCGCUUUCUUCUUGAGGUGACCAAAUGUUCUAAAAUUGACAGGGGCACCUGUGUGGCUCAGUCAGUUGAGUGCCUGACUCUUGAUCUCCUCUCAGGUCAUGAUCUCGCAGUUUGUGGGAUCAAGCCCCAUGUCAGGCUCUGUGCUGAUAGCGAGGAGCCUGCUUGGGAUUCAUUCUCUCUCUCUCUCUCUCUCUCCCCUCCCCCCUGCUCACACACGCACACACUCUCUCAAAAUAAACUUUUAGAAAAAAAUCGAUAAGGGUGAUGGUCACACAUAUGUGUGAAUAUACUAAAAGCUAUUGAAUUGUACAUUUUGAAUGAGUUGUAUGUUAAUUAUAACUCAAAUUGUUGAAAAAGAAGCAACAAAAACAGUGGUACACAAAGAAUACAGAAUCUUCUCAAUGUUGUCAUGUCUGCAUGGAAUGGCUUGCCCUAACCAUCUGGCUACCAGCAUGAGGAUGGUGUGCACAGGAAGAAAGAGACAGAAAUCAUGAGAAUCCCUGGGAAGUGGCAAGGGAGCCCAGCGGCACCAUGCUCUGGGGGUCUUGAGACCCACAGAGAGGGAGUGGGACCACUGAAACUAUUGAAUUCAAGAACACGGUGCUGUGUUUGUGAUGCCAGUGUUUGGCCAUAGCCUGCCAGCACCCACGAAGCUGGCAAAUUAACAUGGAACACCACCUCAGAGAACUUAGCCAUCGCCUUGACAUUACUUGCCAGAGGACGGCCUUACUUACAGCAGGAGGAUGGCCUUCACUUGGCGUCCACUUCCCAGAUACCUCCCAUCUAAUGACUUCUUUGCUCCUUAUUCCUACUUGCAUCUCGGAUCUUCUUUUUUUUUUUUUUAAGUUUAUUUAUUUUAUUUUGAAAGAAAGAGCAAGCACGAGUGAGGGAGGAACAGAGAGAGAGAGAGAGAGAGAGAGAAUCCCAAGCAGGCUCUGCACAGCGUCGAUCCCGACACGGGGCUCGAACACAUGAACUGAGAGAUCAUGAACUGAGCUAACGUCAGAUGCUAACCAAGCAAGCCACCCAGGUGCCCCGCCCACCCGUCUCGGAUAUUCUAUCUAGAAUCAUUUUUCCUUCUGCCUGGUAUAUAUAUGUAAACUUUGGAAUUUCCUGAGGGUCUGCUUGUAAAGAUCUUUCAGUUUUGAUUUGCCAGAAAAUAUCUUUGUUUUGCCCAUGUUCUUGAAAAAAAAAUUUGGACAUAGAAGAUAGACUGGUAGUUAUUUUCUUCUGUUUCCAUUUAUGUAUGUAUGUAUGCUCUUGUGGGAGGGACGGUGGCAUGUGUCUGGGCCCUUUGACUGUUCCCUUUUCCUGCAGGGUGGACCUGAUUGUGGUCUGGGGCCUAGUGACCAGAACGUCCAGAAGAAGGGUGACAAGGGGCCCUUCGACAUGGAGGCAGUGGAUGAAAGCAGAAUGAGAUGUGUGGUCAAGAUGGAAAAGCAGGUGAGCAUGGGAGGGUUUUGCUGGUGUGGCGGAGCUGGUGGACUGAGAGGCUCUGGAAGGCUGUGGGGACAAGCAUAAGGGGAGGGUGCACUUCUCUGAGCCAUAGGCCAGAACACCUGCUGCCAAGGAGGCCUAAGCGGGGCCCAGGCUUCCCCCGCUGUUGGUGCACAGUUAUUUUCUUUCAGCAUAUGAAUAUUCCCAUCCUUGCCUAGAGCCACCUCUGAUACCAAAUGACCAGCAUUCAGUAUGGGAAAUAGAAGCCAGCAGAAAAGGAAUUUAUACAGGUACUAUAAGUCAUUAGGUGCCCUGGAAGAAUGGGCUAUAGUUUGGGCCUCCAGGAAAGACUCUGUAAACACCCAGAAGUAACUCACUAGAGGUGCUGCCAUUUGUGUGACAGUCCAGCAAGUGUUAAGGCUACCUUGGGACUCAGUCAAAUUUAGUAACACAGCACUGUUGCUGAAAGUCAGGAUGCCACCAUAACCGCAGCUGUGUCUCCGUACCCACGAAGCUGGGGCUGGACACUGGGAAGCUGCUGCAGGAAAACUCCAUGUCUCGAUAAUCUUGUUUGCCCAGAGAAGACAAUGAAAAUUGCAGAUAUAUGGUCUGUCUCACAUCUGCUCUCUGAAUUCUUUUUUUUUUUUUUUAAUUCUUCAUUGCUUAUUUAUUCUUGAGAGAGAAAGAGAGAGUGAGCCAGGGAGGGGCAGAGAGAGGGAGACACAGAAUCUGAAGCAGGCUUCAGGCUCUGAGCUGUCAGCACAGAGCCCGACGUGGGGCUUGUCGUGGGGCUCGAACUCACAAGCUGUGGGAUCAUGACUUGAGGCAAAGUCAGAUGCUUAACUGACUGAGCCACCCAGGUGCCCCUGCUCUCUAAAUUCUUAAAACCUCAUUCGCGUAACCCAACUUCAAGGGAAUCUACAAAAUGAAGCUUUUUGCUUCCCAGCCUUUUAUGGUGUAGGAAGGCACUCCAGAAGGAGAUGGGAAUUGUGAGGGAUCCCUGUUGUCACAUGACAUGCAAGGUAGGGGCCUGAAGUGACCAUUGGGUUUGACAAUUAGAAAAGCAAUGAGGCCCAGGAGAGGGCUGUGUCAGCACCGUGGUGGUGGGCAAAGCUAGACCAUCCGGGGUAGAGCGGCCAACAAGACGUGAGGAGCGAAUUCAGUGAAUGUGGAUGGUUUAGGGAGUCCCGUACAGGGACAUGGAGAGAGAGAUGGUGGAUGGAGGGCACAUCAGCUCAGGGAAAGUUUUGGAAGGUUGGUUUUCUAGGAAUGGCAGAUAAUCAAACACGCUUAUGAGGAAGGGAAGGUGCCAGCUGAAGGGAACAGAGGGAGCAAGUAGAUACAGAACGGAUGGAGAGCUUGUGGCUGGUGGGUGAGGAUGCUUACAACGUACAGCAAGACGCUCAUGAUAUUUUGCUAAGUGACAAGAGCAUAUCCUCAAACAAACAUUGUGCGAUUCCUUUCCUGUUCCACAGCAUAUUAGAUACACCAAAAUCCUCACUGAAUUGUCAGACAGCCCUCAUAGAGAUAAACGCAAUUAAUUCCACUGUUCCAAGCCGCACCCCUGAGAUGGAGCAGCCCAGCCAAUGGCAUAGGCUUGGGCAGAGCAUGUAGUAACUAGAGGGGCAGGAUAAGAGCGGGAUCGGGUGGGAUGGUUAAAGCACAUUUAUACUCUAGGGCCACAGGCUGGCUUGUUCCAUAGGCCUCAUAGUCAAGUCAUUAUCCCAAUGGUCCCACGAUCACCCUCCCUCCUGAACACGGAGGAACAGCCUGCCAGCAGUUCUAGAACCAGCUUCAGAGGCCUGGGCAUAGCAUCAGCCCAUCCCGUCCACCCGCAACAAUUGUGGAGACACACCCGGAUUCCCCUUAGUAGUUUUGGGCCAUAUCCUAAAAGAGCCCGGAUAUGUUUGCAACAUAGUCCUGUCACACUUCCUGUUUCCUCUCAGAUAAUGACCACAAGAUCCACUGACCAAGGCUGACCCCUAAGUACAUGACUUCCUUGAAAAUAACUUGACACAGCUUAAACUAACUUAGCUUUUCACCACCCUCAUCUUACCUCUCAACAUGGUUAUUUCUUGUGCCCACCUCUCUGUCUAUACAUAAAUAUAAAAUAAUAAUUUAUAUGUAAUCUAUCUUGUAUUAUUAUUGUAUGUGCAUUACAAUCUGGAAUUGUACAUUUUUAAUCAUUAUUGGCCCCAGGUUUGUUUUUUUUUUUUUUUCUUUUGGGGGAGGUGGUGCUGAAUCAUGAGAAUUCAGGCUGACAACCUAUAUGAGGAUAGGCUUGUGGUUACACAUUCUCAGAGGAGAUCCCGUACCUGAAUUCAAUUGGGAUUAGACUCCAAGAAAGGCAGUUUUUCUUGCAGUCCUCUGUAUUAUCCACACAAAAUCGAUUUUUUUUUUUCAAAUUUUAGAGACAGAGCAUGAGCGGGGGAGAGGGGCAAAGGGAGUGAGAGAGAAUUUUAAGCACGUUCCAUGCUUAGUGCAGAGCCCAAUGUGGGGCUUGAUCUCAAGACCCUGGGAUCAUGACCUGAACCAAAAUCAAGAGUUGAUCACUUAACCUACUGAACCACCCAGGUGCCCCUACAAAUUCAAUUAUAAUAAAUGUAACGAUACAUGAGCUGAACAAAAGGUAAGGAAUACUAAGGCACAAGAGCAGGGGCCUAGAGAGGUAUUCAGGGCCUUGAAGCCAGAUAUGGACUAAGGACAUGUACAAAACUGAGUGCUUAUGAACAUGGGUUUUUGUGCUCUCUCAGGACUGGCAGGACAGAAGAUAAAACCUGAUGCCCACUCAAGAGAGAAUCUUAACAGGAGACUCGCUCAAAGCUGGGACUCUGGAAGACUACAUUCUCCAUA
Molecule: long non-coding RNA, 6771 nt
Filed under: Lynx pardinus (Iberian lynx)
Lineage: Eukaryota; Metazoa; Chordata; Mammalia; Carnivora; Felidae
Source: RNAcentral